RNAcentral lists this ribosomal RNA (462 nucleotides) under uncultured bacterium. RNAcentral describes it as "bacterial SSU rRNA". It matches the Rfam family "Bacterial small subunit ribosomal RNA", at positions 8 to 465 of the family's 1533-position model. The record is from RNAcentral.
AGAGUUUGAUCCAUGGCUCAGAGUGAACGCUGGCGGCAGGCCUAACACAUGCAAGUCGAACGGCAGCACAGCAGUAGCAAUACUGUGGGUGGCGAGUGGCGGACGGGUGAGGAAUACAUCGGAAUCUACCUUGUCGUGGGGGAUAACGUAGGGAAACUUACGCUAAUACCGCAUACGACCUACGGGUGAAAGCGGAGGACCGCAAGGCUUCGCGCGAUAAGAUGAGCCGAUGUCGGAUUAGCUAGUUGGCGGGGUAAUGGCCCACCAAGGCGACGAUCCGUAGCUGGUCUGAGAGGAUGAUCAGCCACACUGGAACUGAGACACGGUCCAGACUCCUACGGGAGGCAGCAGUGGGGAAUAUUGGACAAUGGGCGCAAGCCUGAUCCAGCCAUGCCGCGUGGGUGAAGAAGGCCUUCGGGUUGUAAAGCCCUUUUGUCCGGAAAGAAAAGCAUCGGGCUAAUA